This 84-nucleotide transfer RNA is filed under the name Spirochaetes bacterium ADurb.Bin269. RNAcentral describes it as "tRNA-Leu". It matches the Rfam family "tRNA". Rfam says of the family: Transfer RNA (tRNA) molecules are approximately 80 nucleotides in length. Their secondary structure includes four short double-helical elements and three loops (D, anti-codon, and T loops). Lineage: Bacteria; Pseudomonadati; Spirochaetota. The record is from RNAcentral.
GCCGGCGUGGCGGAAUGGCAGACGCGGUGGACUCAAAAUCCACUAUCCGCGAGGAUGUAUGGGUUCAAGUCCCAUCGCCGGCAC